This is a long non-coding RNA of Triplophysa dalaica, 1160 nucleotides long. RefSeq lists it as uncharacterized. The transcript has 5 exons. Lineage: Eukaryota; Metazoa; Chordata; Actinopteri; Cypriniformes; Nemacheilidae. The record is from RefSeq and is a predicted model, not a curated record.
GCUGACAUGAUAUGUUUUACAAGUUCUUCGUCUGAAAGAGCUGAUUUCAGUUUUAAAUGCGAAAUAAUCAAUUGAGUUCGUUGCGUGCAAGCAGAAUCAGACAUCACUACUGUGACUGACCAAAAUUGUUCCGCAUGUUAAAGUAGUUCUGCUGCGUUCAGGGUUUUCUUACGCAUUUAUUUUCAUUAUUUAGUACGAUAACAUCAUAUAAUACAUUUUUUCUUUAAGUAGCCUACGCACAUAUUUAAAUAACAGCUAUGAAGAUUUUAUAUUUUUGAACUGUUAGAAGGAUACACCCUCACAAAGCACACGUGGAGGAGCUGCGCAGUGCGCGUGACCGUGACAGGACCUCACCUCAGCAUUACCGCCAGUUUUUGGAUUAGAGGCGAAGCAGAUAAGUUGCAUGAACUGCCAAAAUCAAGAUCAGUGUGAAAAGAGAGAAAGAGGAUCAGAUGUUCCAUAAAGUUGAUUAGAAAACCUUGCCUGAUGAAGUGGACUGUACUGGUCUUCCAAGUACACCCUGCAUAAUUGUGUGUGGAUUUUCUCCUUUGACUGCAGAGUACUUUAUGUUGUCUGUGGACCAGGUCAUUGUUAACAGCCACAUCACCAUGUUCAGUGAUACUGUCAGGUUGAUGUUCGCCUCGUACUACUGCUUGAACAUUUCCUAUCCAGCUGACCAAGGAGCAACAUUGAAAUUUGUGCAGAGAUAAACCCAGAGAAGGGAUCCAAAAUUGAAAAGAGAACAUCAAGAAACCAAAAGGCGGACAGUCCAAAGGUUAUUUCUCUGUUUACUAAAAUUGCAGACUAUGAAUGGAUGGAGUAAAUCUACUCCCACAAUAUACUCCCCCCAUUAUCUUCUCUUAAAAUGUUUGGCUGUGUUACUGACUUGAAGUACAUUUGGUUCUGUUGUUUAAAAUUUUACUUUUUCAUUCGUAUUGUUGUAUGCAAGUAUUUUUAUAGUUGAGCAUCAGUUUUAUUGCAUGAAUUGUAUAAACCUGUCAGAUUUUGUAAAAACCUCUCAGAUUUUGUUCUCUUGUACUGCUACGUUGUUUUACCUAUGUCAUCAGUGAGAUUACGGUGAGUUUUAGCUUUUACAGACAAGUUUGAGAUUAUUGUUAUUAUUCUCCUGCAAGAAAUAAAAGCGAGUCUGUUUAACAAGA